Ruditapes philippinarum (Manila clam) is the source of this 540-nucleotide long non-coding RNA. RefSeq lists it as uncharacterized. The record is from RefSeq and is a predicted model, not a curated record. The transcript has 3 exons. NCBI's taxonomy places the organism in Eukaryota, Metazoa, Mollusca, Bivalvia, Venerida, Veneridae.
AGCAAACAAAUGUAAAAGGCGUAAUAUAGGGUCAUCAUAAUGAUAUGUUUUCAUUAAGUUAAUGAUGGGAAUUUCUGUUGGACAGGCGUAUCUUUCCGUGACGCAUUAUUCACGUUUAAAUGAAACAUAAAAUAACCCCAGUGGCUUUAGUUAAUUACUAAUUGAGGCGGGCAAUCGGCCACUUGUGGAUUUACUUUGAAAUAAGACGGACAUUAUAUAUACAACAGUUGCAGAAAAACUUGAUUACCCAAACUUCCACCAUGAAACUAUUCUUUGUUUUGGCGUUUUUAUUGGUUGUUUUGUACCACGUGAAUGCCCAGGUAGCCGCCCCAACUCCCGACAAGACCAAUAGAGUGAAUAAUAUGAAUUAUCUGCGCGAGCUGAUGAUGGCAAGGAUGCGAGGACAACAACAACAACACCAACAAGGGCCACAGAGAAGACCUUUUGUACCACGACCGAGGUUCAUGCCUUAUAACAACUUUUUAACGGGGGCACUUCUCGCUAACAAUGACGCAUUUGAUGACAUGUUUGAAUUUUAAA